Molecule: long non-coding RNA, 201 nt
Organism: Apodemus sylvaticus (European woodmouse)
Lineage: Eukaryota; Metazoa; Chordata; Mammalia; Rodentia; Muridae
Exons: 3
Source: RefSeq, a predicted model, not a curated record
CUUUGUUCCUUUACAGAAAAUCAUUUUAUUUGUAAUACCUGGUCUUCAAAGAAAACUUCCAAUGAAAAAGAAGAGGUCAAAGAACAAGGAAAUCAUAUGCUUGACCUUAAGGAACUAAUAUCAUGUGAGGGAAACUCAAAGGACUGUGAGCAGUACAGUUGUGACACUAUUUUGCAUUUUAUUGAAGAGCUCAUGAGGCAG